UACAACAUGAGAUUUAGAGAUGAGAAGAUAAGUGCAAAGCCAGCAAUCGGAAUUGAUCUAGGAACGACUUACUCCUGUGUGGGAAUUUGGCAACAUGAUCACGUUGAGAUCAUAGCUAAUGACCAGGGUAAUAGAACAACACCAUCUUUUGUCGCAUUCACUAAUACUGAACGUUUGAUAGGAGACGCUGCUAAGAAUCAGGUUUCUAAGAAUCCAACAAACACUGUUUUUGAUGCUAAGAGAUUGAUUGGAAGGCGAUACAGCGAUGCAUCGGUGCAAAGGGACAUGAAACUAUGGCCUUUUUAAGGUCAUUGCUGGCCUUGGUGACAGACCCAUGAUUAUUGUGACAUACAAGGGUGAAGAGAAGCAAUUCACCUCUGAGGAAAUCUCUUCAAUGGUCCUCAUGAAAAUGCGAGAGAUUGCUGAGUCAUACCUUGAAACCACUAUAAAGAAUGCUGUUGUUACUGUUCCUGCU
This 475-nucleotide unclassified non-coding RNA is filed under the name Hevea brasiliensis (rubber tree). The record is from RNAcentral. Lineage: Eukaryota; Viridiplantae; Streptophyta; Magnoliopsida; Malpighiales; Euphorbiaceae.